UUAAGGUUUCUCUUUCUCCGUCGACUCCAUUGAAACUCGUUUACAACUCAAUUCUAUUAGGGUUUCUUCAUUUUCUCUCUACCUACUGCUUCUCUGUUCUUUCUAUGAUGAUUUAAUGAAGCCGUCUCAAAUUCUAUUAUCACCUGAACAAUCAUCAGCUUCCUUCUCAAAUUCUAGGGUUUCCCCGAAUUCUUUCUCUCCCUCUUCGCAAUCGAUCCUAAAUCUCUUCAGAAACAAUUGGAAGCAGCCAAGCAACUAGGUUAGUUUUUCUCGAUCUAUGAUGUUCUAAACUUUGUUUCAUGAUUCGUCGUUUACCUUUCUCCUUCAACGUUCUUCAUAUCAAGCCUCCAAAUCAAGGGUUUGUUGAUCUUCGAUCUUUUUACUUCUUUGAGACACAAAUGUCGUCCACACCAAGUAACAUGAAUCCGUGCAAAUUUUGGGAGAUGGAGCAUAAAAUGUUCAGCAAGUGCCAAGUAUGCAAAGAG
Long non-coding RNA from Helianthus annuus (common sunflower), 485 nucleotides. RefSeq lists it as uncharacterized. The transcript is spliced from 3 exons. The record is from RefSeq and is a predicted model, not a curated record. Lineage: Eukaryota; Viridiplantae; Streptophyta; Magnoliopsida; Asterales; Asteraceae.